UACGUAGGGUGCAAGCGUUGUCCGGAAUUAUUGGGCGUAAAGAGCUCGUAGGCGGUCUGUCACGUCGGCUGUGAAAACCCGGGGCUCAACCCCGGGCCUGCAGUCGAUACGGGCAGACUAGAGUGCGGUAGGGGAGACUGGAAUUCCUGGUGUAGCGGUGAAAUGCGCAGAUAUCAGGAGGAACACCGGUGGCGAAGGCGGGUCUCUGGGCAGUAACUGACGCUGAGGAGCGAAAGCGUGGGGAGCGAACAGG
This 253-nucleotide ribosomal RNA is filed under the name uncultured bacterium. RNAcentral describes it as "partial 16S ribosomal RNA". It matches the Rfam family "Bacterial small subunit ribosomal RNA", at positions 524 to 776 of the family's 1533-position model. The record is from RNAcentral.